RNAcentral lists this ribosomal RNA (497 nucleotides) under uncultured bacterium. RNAcentral's name for it is "partial 16S ribosomal RNA". It matches the Rfam family "Bacterial small subunit ribosomal RNA", at positions 28 to 507 of the family's 1533-position model. The record is from RNAcentral.
GAUGAACGCUGGCGGCGUGCCUAAUACAUGCAAGUCGAGCGAACGGACGAGAAGCUUGCUUCUCUGAUGUUAGCGGCGGACGGGUGAGUAACACGUGGAUAACCUACCUAUAAGACUGGGAUAACUUCGGGAAACCGGAGCUAAUACCGGAUAAUAUUUUGAACCGCAUGGUUCAAAAGUGAAAGACGGUCUUGCCGUCACUUAUAGAUGGAUCCGCGCUGCAUUAGCUAGUUGGUAAGGUAACGGCUUACCAAGGCAACGAUGCAUAGCCGACCUGAGAGGGUGAUCGGCCACACUGGAACUGAGACACGGUCCAGACUCCUACGGGAGGCAGCAGUAGGGAAUCUUCCGCAAUGGACGAAAGCCUGACGGAGCAACGCCGCGUGAGUGAUGAAGGUCUUCGGAUCGUAAAACUCUGUUAUUAGGGAAGAACAUAUGUGUAAGUAACUGUGCACAUCUUGACGGUACCUAAUCAGAAAGCCACGGCUAACUACGUG